GGACAGUGGACCCAAACACAACUUGUUAUUGCCUUGUACUAGUGACUAGAAGUAAAACUGAGAAGAAAGAAAAAUGAAAUUGUGUAGUUUUACUCCACUGUCUAAAUACUAAGAUGAGAACACUGUAUGAUAUUCACAUCCUGUCACACUGGCAAAAGCAGAUUAAAUUACAGGAACAGGCUAAAUAAUAAUAAAAGCAGGAUGAGAAAUUACUAUUUGGCUGAAAUGAAGUUACAUAAAUGUUAACUUUUGGAGUUUCCUGAAUUCAACAGGUACUCCCUACCGCAUCUCACUUAUCAAGACAAUGCUUAGAAGAGGACAAAAUCGGGCAUACCACUGAGAACUUCAAAACCAAGAGAUGGCUUUCUUCUUACUCUUUUUUUUUUUCCCAUUGGGGAUGAGUUAGAGUUAUAUCCUUUGAGGAGAUUACUUGUAUGCAAACCCAUUAUUUACAUGUGCUUGUUCCUUUUCUGUUGUUGUUGUUUAGGAAGGGAGUAUUCAUCCAUAUCACUCAAAGAAAUAGCUUUCAGAUAAUGAUUAUGAAUACCGAACAAGUUUCUCUUAAGAGUGUUUUUUAUGCUCUAAAGAAAAAAACAUACUUCUGACUAAAUUAUGUUCGUCAAAAAAAGGCUAGGCCUACACACAUAGGGGAAGGAAAACCAUUACAACUUAUGUACUCAUCUUUAAGCAUUUUACAUCCUGAAAGAUUGCAAAAGAAGGAUAAGUGAAAUACACAGUUUGCCUUCAUAGAUUUGAUUUAAAUGAGUAACUUUUUAAGCCUUGUUCUAAUUCAUGAAGGCUUUGCAAAUAAAACCUCACAUUGUCCUGAAUAAAGAAUGGACUUUUAAUUUAAUUUCAGCUGAAAAUGACAAAUCUAACUCCAAUUUUGAGAGUUUUUUAAGUAGUUGCAAUAAAACUGGUUUGAUCAUUUUUAGCUGUUGAAUAUGAAAAUGAAACAAAAUCUAUUUCUUUGUCUGCUUUCUAACUUCGGAACGUGGAACACGUAAUUAUGAAGAAAGUAGUACCAUGUCUCUUUCAAAGAUAACAAGUUCUGUAACUUGCUUUAAAAGCAGUCUAAUUCUGAAGGGAAAUUGUUACAAUAGCUGUAAAAGUAAACAUUUCAUAUGUAAUUUGUGGUAUUUUUGUCCAUUACCUGGGGAUAUAUUUAAUAAGCUUCUGAACCACAACAUUUUACAUACAUAUUUAGUUUAGAAUUCUGUAAAUAUGUCUGUGUUAGUACACACUACAAAUAUUUCUGUUUGACUUUCUUAGUGUGAAAAAGUGGAAGCAAAGUUGUAAACAGGAUGAAACUAAAUGCUAUUUCACUCUUUUUAGAAGUAAGUUGCCACAUGUCACAGGCUAACACCAUUGUACCAAAGUGUAUUAACCUGCAAAGGUAUGCAAAGACAAAAGGAAAGGGGAAUGAUUGAAUAAGAUAGAAAUUUGAGAUGCUGAGUUUUUGGUGAAGAUGGCUUUGAAAGGGCUUGCUAAAAGUGAUAAGUAGCAGGGUUGAACAUUGUUCAAAGUAACAAGCAACCCUGAAUUGACUACAGAAAAAGACAUUUCAGAGAAUAGUUUUUUCUUGCUAUAAUAUGCUAAAUAGUGUUUUAUUAAAAUAGAAGACAAACCAGUGUAACAAUGCCUAUUGUUAUUAGAUAAGCUGUAAUGUUGGGAGUCCUAAUGUAGAUGGGUCUUCAACAAUCUAUGAACUGAUGAUGUGAUCUAUCAGUCGAGAAUUUGGAAGGUUUUGAUGUUCUAACCAAACCUGACACUCUUAAAAUGUUGAAACUUAGUAAACUUAAAAACUUAUUUCCCAUCCACUUUUGUAAAGUUCUUUGCAUUUUCAGUGUUCUAUCAAGAUUGACCUUGAUGAGUAGAGUCUGGGUAGACACUGAUGCACAACCAACAUGUUACUCUUCUAAUCUUUUAGUCUGGAUAGCAGUGCUGAUGAUAUUUGCAAGGCAACGGAACAUUUUGAAGUUUGUUCCUUCCCUGUCUGUCAGAAGCUUUCAGUAUGACAGCAGUAGAUGUCUGUGUGAUUUUUCCACACUGUAUCCAGGAACAAGAGAAAGGCCUCAGAAAUGAAAAGCAAACUAUCACAAAAUAUAUUACCACAGAGACUUUCAGUGAGAUCAGGAGCUAGAUAUACUUGAAGAAAACAAGUUUUAAUCAUUUUUAAUCCACAACCACCAAGUAUCUUGUAAGGUGCAUAUUUAAGGAAACCAAAUAUGCAAAGUAAUGUGCACACUGAGUUAAAAUCCAAUUCUGAAUUUCCCCAGAUUUCUGUAAGAUGAUGCUACGUGACAUAGGCAACCCUUUUUUUUCUGCUUAAGAGCGGAUGAACAAUAUAUACGAGAGAUGACAGUGAUAAGCUCAUCCUUAAA
This is a long non-coding RNA of Numida meleagris (helmeted guineafowl), 2384 nucleotides long. RefSeq lists it as uncharacterized. The record is from RefSeq and is a predicted model, not a curated record. Lineage: Eukaryota; Metazoa; Chordata; Aves; Galliformes; Numididae. The transcript is spliced from 3 exons.